CAGAAGAAACUUUCUCCAUUUCUCUAACCGUGUAUGUAUCCUGAAAGCAAAAACUUUUUUACUGAUGUUUGUAUUUGGUUUGUUUGGUCACAUGUAUGAUAAAGGGGCAAGAAAUUGGUACAAUGGAUCGAUCGCCAAGCAUUGAUAAGUAGAAGACGAAACUGUUAAUCUGUUAAGCAAUAAAGAAAAGUAAUUGAUGUUGUAGAUAUGGUGUUGUUUGGGGCUCGUGUUGAAGGAAACCGAAAACAAAAGGAGGGUUGUACGGUGUUUGAAACUAUAAUUUUCUCCCCUUAUCUAUUUGUCUUUUCCGAUCUAAGUUUUCUUAUUAUUUCUGGUCUUCGGUAUUUUGCUAUUGUGUUUUCCGAUUUAGCUUUAAUUAUUUUUGUUUUUAUGUUUUUUACUUGCAAAUUUAGAUACUUAUGAGCAAUACAAUUAUGCAGGUGUGAUUUACCAAGAACAUGGUCAAUUUAAUAAACUGUGUGAGGUGUUGCGCAAAUGGAACUAUUGCUGGAACAAAAGCACAUUCAUAAUGAAGUUUCUUUUAGCUUUGGAUUUAAUAUGAUUAUUUGACCUACUCUACAUUUUUAUUAAAUGUAAUGCAAUGCCUUUUUUUAUAUUUAAGGAAGUGGCUUUUCUCUAAUCAUACAUAAUCCAAAGUUUACCCCAAGUUGUGUGAUUAAUCUUUUGGUUUAAAGCUUCAGGCUCAAUUGAAAUAAACCCCCUAUGUUUUAUCCUUAUGUAAUAAUCAAAUUUUGAUAAAGAUCUUCCAUGUUUGGUUGAAG
Lactuca sativa (garden lettuce) is the source of this 782-nucleotide long non-coding RNA. RefSeq lists it as uncharacterized. The record is from RefSeq and is a predicted model, not a curated record. NCBI's taxonomy places the organism in Eukaryota, Viridiplantae, Streptophyta, Magnoliopsida, Asterales, Asteraceae.